CGUCAGCUCGUGUCGUGAGAUGUUGGGUUAAGUCCCGCAACGAGCGCAACCCCUAUUGUUAGUUGCCAUCAUUCAGUUGGGCACUCCAGCGAGACUGCCGGUAAUAAACCGGAGGAAGGUGGGGAUGACGUCAAAUCAUCAUGCCCCUUAUGACCUGGGCUACACACGUGCUACAAUGGUUGGUACAACGAGUUGCGAGUCGGUGACGGCGAGCUAAUCUCUUAAAGCCAAUCUCAGUUCGGAUUGUAGGCUGCAACUCGCCUACAUGAAGUCGGAAUCGCUAGUAAUCGCGGAUCAGCACGCCGCGGUGAAUACGUUCCCGGGCCUU
RNAcentral lists this ribosomal RNA (328 nucleotides) under uncultured Streptococcus sp. RNAcentral's name for it is "bacterial SSU rRNA". It matches the Rfam family "Bacterial small subunit ribosomal RNA", at positions 1053 to 1382 of the family's 1533-position model. The record is from RNAcentral. Lineage: Bacteria; Bacillati; Bacillota; Bacilli; Lactobacillales; Streptococcaceae.